UGAGGAAUAUUGGUCAAUGGACGAGAGUCUGAACCAGCCAAGUAGCGUGAAGGAUGACUGCCCUAUGGGUUGUAAACUUCUUUUAUACGGGAAUAAAGUGCAGUAUGUAUACUGUUUUGUAUGUACCGUAUGAAUAAGGAUCGGCUAACUCCGUGCCAGCAGCCGCGGUAAUACGGAGGAUCCAAGCGUUAUCCGGAUUUAUUGGGUUUAAAGGGUGCGUAGGUGGCUUUUUAAGUCAGGGGUGAAAGACAUCGGCUCAACCGAUGCAGUGCCUUUGAUACUGAAGAGCUUGAAUAGCGUUGAAGAUGGCGGAAUGAGACAAGUAGCGGUGAAAUGCAUAGAUAUGUCUCAGAACACCGAUUGCGAAGGCAGCUGUCUAAGCGUUUAUUGACACUGAUGCACGAAAGCGUGGGGAUCAAACAGGAUUAGAUACCC
RNAcentral lists this ribosomal RNA (435 nucleotides) under uncultured bacterium. Its description in RNAcentral is "bacterial SSU rRNA". It matches the Rfam family "Bacterial small subunit ribosomal RNA", at positions 355 to 787 of the family's 1533-position model. The record is from RNAcentral.